Molecule: ribosomal RNA, 586 nt
Filed under: Salmonella enterica subsp. enterica serovar Infantis
Lineage: Bacteria; Pseudomonadati; Pseudomonadota; Gammaproteobacteria; Enterobacterales; Enterobacteriaceae
Description: partial 23S ribosomal RNA
Rfam family: Bacterial large subunit ribosomal RNA
Source: RNAcentral
AGACCCGAAACCCGGUGAUCUAGCCAUGGGCAGGUUGAAGGUUGGGUAACACUAACUGGAGGACCGAACCGACUAAUGUUGAAAAAUUAGCGGAUGACCUGUGGCUGGGGGUGAAAGGCCAAUCAAACCGGGAGAUAGCUGGUUCUCCCCGAAAGCUAUUUAGGUAGCGCCUCGUGAAUUCAUCUCCGGGGGUAGAGCACUGUUUCGGCUAGGGGGCCAUCCCGGCUUACCAACCCGAUGCAAACUGCGAAUACCGGAGAAUGUUAUCACGGGAGACACACGGCGGGUGCUAACGUCCGUCGUGAAGAGGGAAACAACCCAGACCGCCAGCUAAGGUCCCAAAGUCAUGGUUAAGUGGGAAACGAUGUGGGAAGGCCCAGACAGCCAGGAUGUUGGCUUAGAAGCAGCCAUCAUUUAAAGAAAGCGUAAUAGCUCACUGGUCGAGUCGGCCUGCGCGGAAGAUGUAACGGGGCUAAACCAUGCACCGAAGCUGCGGCAGCGACACUCAGGUGUUGUUGGGUAGGGGAGCGUUCUGUAAGUCUGCGAAGGUGGCCUGUGAGGGUUGCUGGAGGUAUCAGAAGUGCGA